RNAcentral lists this long non-coding RNA (966 nucleotides) under Lactuca sativa (garden lettuce). RNAcentral's name for it is "long non-coding RNA (LSAT_LNC006969)". The record is from RNAcentral. Lineage: Eukaryota; Viridiplantae; Streptophyta; Magnoliopsida; Asterales; Asteraceae.
GAAAAAUUUUGAGACAACUCUCAACCAUAGCCCAAGAAAAUUAUGUAAUGAAACAGAAAGUAACUUUAACGCACAUAGUAACUCAUUUGUAUUUGAUAUAUAGAAUAUAAUUUACAAAUAUUAAUAGUAACUUUAAUGCUUUAUUGGGUCUGACAUAUAUUUUUUUCUUUCGGUUAUGGAAUACAAUUCUAGGUUGUUUGUGCCUUUUUAUUUUUCAUCAACACAAAUUAAUUUACUCUUUGAACCUUGUGGUAUGCAUUCUAAAUCAAAUAUGUUGCUGGAAAUUAUGUAUUCUACCAGAAUAGAAUUGAUAUAUUCUGCCAGAAUGUAUUAUAUGUAUUCUGUCAUAUUCUAUUUAUUCUACCAGAAUAUAUUAAGUGAUAGUUAAUUGCAAGUAACAUGUUUUUAACAAUUAUUAGUUUUUGUUGUAUUUGUGAUAGGAAUGGUUGGAAGAAGGCGUUGAAGACCUUCAUAUUCUUUUAGAAUAUGUAUAAUUAUAUUAAAAUGUAUAAGGAUUUUAGUCUGUAAGAAUAUGUAUGAAUUUGUAUUUAAGUUCGGAUGUAUAAGAAUAUAUUAGGAUGUUUGUUAUUUUUCAACAUCUGAUUCAAGAAUUUUGUUUUUCUUCAAUGAUAUUCUAUUAGAAUAAAAUUUUGAAAGAGCAUCAUUCUAACAAAAUAAUAUUCUAUUAGAAUAAUAUUCUANUUUGUUAUUUUUCAACAUCUGAUUCAAAAAAUUUGUUUUUCUUCAAUAAUAUUCUAUUAGAAUUAAAUUCUGAAAGAGCAUCAUUCUAACAAAAAAUAUUCUGACAGAAUAUAAUCGGUAAAAAUUGAAAUUGAAUUAAUUAAAAAAUUCAGAUUUUCUUAAAUUAGGAGAAUUAAUCAUCCCUAAAAAUCAGAAAAUUUCCUUUCAUAAAUGUAGUUAAUUGUCCAAAAUACCCUUUUGCUAAAAAUUGUGUGAUUAUAUGGU